Molecule: ribosomal RNA, 655 nt
Filed under: Salmonella enterica subsp. enterica serovar Livingstone
Lineage: Bacteria; Pseudomonadati; Pseudomonadota; Gammaproteobacteria; Enterobacterales; Enterobacteriaceae
Description: partial 23S ribosomal RNA
Rfam family: Bacterial large subunit ribosomal RNA
Source: RNAcentral
GAACGUAUCACCCAAGACAACUUUACGGAGUUGACGAUUGACGGAGCGAAGCGACGUCAAAGCGUUCAUUAAAGUCGAGUUGGCUUAGGGAUACGUUCGUUGGGUAGGGGAGCGUUCUGUAAGCCUGUGAAGGUGGCCUGUGAGGGUUGCUGGAGGUAUCAGAAGUGCGAAUGCUGACAUAAGUAACGAUAAUGCGGGUGAAAAACCCGCACGCCGGAAGACCAAGGGUUCCUGUCCAACGUUAAUCGGGGCAGGGUGAGUCGACCCCUAAGGCGAGGCCGAAAGGCGUAGUCGAUGGGAAACAGGUUAAUAUUCCUGUACUUGGUGUUACUGCGAAGGGGGGACGGAGAAGGCUAUGUUAGCCGGGCGACGGUUGUCCCGGUUUAAGCAUGUAGGCGGAGGUUCCAGGUAAAUCCGGUACCUUAUUAACGCUGAGGUGUGAUGACGAGGCACUACGGUGCUGAAGUAACAAAUGCCCUGCUUCCAGGAAAAGCCUCUAAGCAUCAGGUAACAUCAAAUCGUACCCCAAACCGACACAGGUGGUCAGGUAGAGAAUACCAAGGCGCUUGAGAGAACUCGGGUGAAGGAACUAGGCAAAAUGGUGCCGUAACUUCGGGAGAAGGCACGCUGACACGUAGGUGAAGUGAUUUACUCA